GCCUAGCUGGCUCAGUUGGUAGAGCAUAUGACUCUUGAUCUUGGGGUCGUGGGUUCAAACCCCAUGUUGGGUA
Molecule: transfer RNA, 73 nt
Filed under: Canis lupus familiaris (dog)
Lineage: Eukaryota; Metazoa; Chordata; Mammalia; Carnivora; Canidae
Description: tRNA-Lys (CTT) (tRNA-Lys-CTT-22-1)
Rfam family: tRNA
About the family: Transfer RNA (tRNA) molecules are approximately 80 nucleotides in length. Their secondary structure includes four short double-helical elements and three loops (D, anti-codon, and T loops). Further hydrogen bonds mediate the characteristic L-shaped molecular structure. tRNAs have two regions of fundamental functional importance: the anti-codon, which is responsible for specific mRNA codon recognition, and the 3' end, to which the tRNAs corresponding amino acid is attached (by aminoacyl-tRNA synthetases). tRNAs cope with the degeneracy of the genetic code in two manners: having more than one tRNA (with a specific anti-codon) for a particular amino acid; and 'wobble' base-pairing, i.e. permitting non-standard base-pairing at the 3rd anti-codon position.
Source: Rfam by way of RNAcentral